GUAAUUAGAUAAGAUUUAUUAUCUGAUGAGUAAUUUAUUGAAUUAUAUGUGUAUUUUUCUGGAUUCAGAUAAAGCAGUAGUGAAAUUUUCUAGAUACAUUAUGCACGAGAAUCAUUUUUUUCUUCUGACACAAUAUUUACUCGCUCAAAUUAAACUUUAUUGGAAUUAGAUUAUACAACUUACUAAUUAUUAAAAACACAUAAAUCGUUUGUUUAUGAUUAUAAAUUUUAAUAGUGUAGUUUAACGAAAUAGGACCUAAUUACUUUUAAAACAAGUGUUGUUUAAUACUAUUGUCCUUUUUAUGUUGACCUGACAGAAAACUUUUUUAUUUGACUCAAAUUUAUUUUAUACCGUUUGUGUUUCAACACAAUGUUUUAUUAAAGUAAGACAUUAUUUUGUUUAAAACAAUCAAAAAACUUGUAGACAAAUUAGACAAGGUUCUUAGCUACCCCAGAUAAUGAUACGGAAUAAUGGAGACUAUAUAUUAGUUAGAGAUAAGAUUUUAGGCAUUACGUCAUUUAUUUCCAUCUAACCAUCGCAGCGUUCGCAUCUUAAACGUUUAAUUUGUGUUGUGAAGAAAUUCGAUUGUUUUACCAAAUUAUAUAUAUUACAAUAUAUAGAAACAACCAGUCUAUAUUAAAAAGUAUAUAGACUUUGAUUUUACUGUGUCAAAUGUGUUAUUAAGUAAUAAUGGAAGAAAAGCAAGAUUAUUGAUUGAGUGAGACCUCGAAGAAAUCAUGAAAGAUUUUGUGAAUAACGCUGUAUAAUAAUAUUAUAAUAGUAAAUUAUUUCCACGUGGAAAAUUAUUUCCUUCCCUGAUCAUGCAAUGAAUUUAUUCAAAUAGAAUAUGCAAGUCAUGGCAACUUUUCUAAAGACAACGCAAUAAAAAAACUACUAAACGAGUUGACAGAUGAUAUUUCUUCAGGCGCUAGAGCUAACAUUGUAAUGCAAUUACUGGCCUACAUAUAUUUUGUCAACAAUAAGUAUCGGAAAGGAAAAACCAGCAUGACGGUGGAAGCUCCUACGCUUAGAAGUUGCUGAAGGAUAACCAUAAACCCUGAAUCUACAUAAGAACUUUCUCUAAGUACGCAUGUGUGCUUAUCUACCCUAGCAAAUUCCCUUUUUUGGUUUAGUAAAAAACUUUUCUAAUGUAGGUGGUAAAUUAGUUCCCUCACGCUAAGAUAUAUACACCAGCACGUUUAUUUUGUAUUUGAUAAAAUAAAAGUAUUUACUACAACAUGUGAUUUUUCUAAAUUAGUACUUCUUCCUAUGUACCUUAGUGAAUUACCUCCUCAUUUUUUGAUAAAACGUUUGUUUAUCACACACAACUAUAUUUUUCAUCUGUU
Molecule: long non-coding RNA, 1346 nt
Organism: Sitophilus oryzae (rice weevil)
Lineage: Eukaryota; Metazoa; Arthropoda; Insecta; Coleoptera; Curculionidae
Exons: 3
Source: RefSeq, a predicted model, not a curated record